RNAcentral lists this ribosomal RNA (253 nucleotides) under uncultured bacterium. RNAcentral describes it as "partial 16S ribosomal RNA". It matches the Rfam family "Bacterial small subunit ribosomal RNA", at positions 524 to 776 of the family's 1533-position model. The record is from RNAcentral.
UACGUAGGGUGCGAGCGUUGUCCGGAAUUAUUGGGCGUAAAGGGCUCGUAGGCGGUUUGUCGCGUCGGGAGUGAAAAUCCAGGGCUUAACUCUGGACUGGCUUCCGAUACGGGCAGACUAGAGGUAUGCAGGGGAGAACGGAAUUCCUGGUGUAGCGGUGAAAUGCGCAGAUAUCAGGAGGAACACCGGUGGUGAAGGCGGUUCUCUGGGCAUUACCUGACGCUGAGGAGCGAAAGCAUGGGGAGCGAACAGG